ACAACACCGACCGAACGCAGGCAGUGUGAAGGGAAGAGGGACAUACACCUAGAAGGCUCCAACCAGAAAAGAAGAUACAAAUGGAAGAUACCAUUGACACCGCCAUGGGGGUGUUCUCUUAUCAGUACCUGGCGUCCAAUGACAGUUUACUUUUCAACAUCACACCAACCCACUUCCCCCCCCUGCCACCCAUAAUAGACCAGACCAUCAGCUUCACCAUCAUAGUGGUCCUCUUCAUCACCAUGGUUUCACUGGGCUGUACCAUGGAGGUGUCCAAGAUCAAGACCCACAUCCUGAAACCUAAAGGAGUAGCCAUCGCAGUGGUGGCACAGUUCGGAGUAAUGCCCCUCACUGCCUUUUCAUUGGCUAAGGU
This is a non-coding RNA of Oncorhynchus mykiss (rainbow trout), 373 nucleotides long. The record is from RefSeq and is a predicted model, not a curated record. NCBI's taxonomy places the organism in Eukaryota, Metazoa, Chordata, Actinopteri, Salmoniformes, Salmonidae.